Molecule: ribosomal RNA, 253 nt
Filed under: uncultured bacterium
Lineage: Bacteria
Description: partial 16S ribosomal RNA
Rfam family: Bacterial small subunit ribosomal RNA
Source: RNAcentral
UACGUAGGUGGCAAGCGUUGUCCGGAUUUACUGGGCGUAAAGAGCGCGUAGGCGGUCGUUCAAGUCGCGUGUGAAAGCCCCCGGCUCAACUGGGGAGGGUCACGCGAUACUGAUCGACUCGAAGGCAGGAGAGGGUAGUGGAAUUCCCGGUGUAGUGGUGAAAUGCGUAGAUAUCGGGAGGAACACCAGUGGCGAAGGCGACUACCUGGCCUGUUCUUGACGCUGAGGCGCGAAAGCUAGGGGAGCAAACGGG